This 252-nucleotide ribosomal RNA is filed under the name uncultured archaeon. Its description in RNAcentral is "partial 16S ribosomal RNA". It matches the Rfam family "Archaeal small subunit ribosomal RNA", at positions 748 to 998 of the family's 1478-position model. The record is from RNAcentral.
CAGCCGUAAACAAUGUGCGUUAGGUGUGUCGGUAACCACGUGUUACUGAUGCGCCGAAGAGAAAUCGUGAAACGCACCACCUGGGAAGUACGGUCGCAAGGCUGAAACUUAAAGGAAUUGGCGGGGGAGGCACCACAACAGGUGGAGCCUGCGGUUUAAUUGGAUUCAACGCCGGACAUCUCACCGGAUAAGACAGCUGAAUGAUUGUCAAUCUGAAGGUUUUACAUGACUAGCUGAGAGGUGGUGCAUGGC